Molecule: small nucleolar RNA, 151 nt
Filed under: Phaseolus vulgaris (common bean)
Lineage: Eukaryota; Viridiplantae; Streptophyta; Magnoliopsida; Fabales; Fabaceae
Description: snoRNA Plant_U3
Rfam family: Plant small nucleolar RNA U3
About the family: Small nucleolar RNAs (snoRNAs) are involved in the processing and modification of rRNA in the nucleolus. There are two main classes of snoRNAs: the box C/D class, and the box H/ACA class. U3 snoRNA is a member of the box C/D class.
Source: Rfam by way of RNAcentral
ACGACCUUACUUGAACAGGAUUUGUUCUAUAGGCUCGUACCUCUGUAUCCUUGAGUUCUAAGGAGACAGGAACUGAAGUCUGGUGGAUGAACCAUGACCCUGUGAUCAGAGUGUGAUUAAUGGUUAGAUGUGCAGAGUUUUCUGACAGACU